UAACUUUCAUUAAUAUGAGAUAUUCAUUUAUUAAUUCCGCACAAGUUGCCAACCAAAAUACUUCAGAAUUGUUUAUUGCAUACAACACAUUCCUGUUUUGCACCCUAUAACUCAAGGCAGUUGGUUCAAACCCAAAAGACUCCCGUUGGCAGUAGAUAGAAUUUGACAACCAAAAACACAAUAAACACUUGAAAACCUCUCUUGCUUGUGGCAGAUUAACUAGCUGCCCAAGGACCAUCUAAAAACCACCAGCGAUGAGCAGGAUAUGCAUUCUAUUGACAACGAGAGAGCAGAAAUGCUCACCAUCAAAACCAAAAAAUAAAAUAAAAUA
Molecule: unclassified non-coding RNA, 331 nt
Filed under: Hevea brasiliensis (rubber tree)
Lineage: Eukaryota; Viridiplantae; Streptophyta; Magnoliopsida; Malpighiales; Euphorbiaceae
Source: RNAcentral